This 107-nucleotide small RNA is filed under the name Marmota monax (woodchuck). Lineage: Eukaryota; Metazoa; Chordata; Mammalia; Rodentia; Sciuridae. The record is from RNAcentral.
GCUGGGUGCAGUGGUGCACGCCUGUAAUCCCAGAAGCUCAGGAGGCUGAGGCAGGAGAAUUGCAAGUUCAAAGCCAGCCUCAGCAACUUAGCAAGACCCUGUCUUAA